RNAcentral lists this long non-coding RNA (256 nucleotides) under Ananas comosus (pineapple). RNAcentral describes it as "long non-coding RNA (ACOM_LNC038756)". The record is from RNAcentral. Lineage: Eukaryota; Viridiplantae; Streptophyta; Magnoliopsida; Poales; Bromeliaceae.
AACGAAGGGUUUCGUUUACCGUUGGUGGGUUUGACUUCAUGAAAAUGGGGCAAAAUGGCCCCUAUGCUUUCUAAACUCUUCGUAAAGUAUUUUUGAAUGCAAAUUCAUGCUAAACAUGAUUUAUGUGAAUUUUAGAACACUUAAAAUGCAUGCCUUAUGUAUCAUAAAAUUUGCACUCUAUAUAGUAGAGCUAUAUGUGUAGAUUGCAUGCAUUGUGAAUGGUGUUUGGUUUUGCAAGUUGAGAACAUGUCUCCAU